CCCUUUGAUACUCUGGGCGGCACGCGCGCUACACUGGAUAACUUAACGUGUUACAUGUCCGAAAGGAUGUAUGCAAAUCACAAAUGUUAUGUCUCGAGUGGGAUAGUUUACUGCAAUUAUAGACUUGAACUAGGAAUCCCUUGUAGGUACACUGAGGCAUAGUGUACCGAAUACGUCCCUGCCGUUUGUACACACCGCCCGUCGUUUCUUCCGACUGAUACUCAUUGUGAAUUGCGGGGAUAACGUUGUUGAAAACCGUUGUAAAUGCUGGGUAUUGGAGGAAGAAAAAGUCGUAACA
This 298-nucleotide ribosomal RNA is filed under the name uncultured eukaryote. RNAcentral's name for it is "partial 18S ribosomal RNA". It matches the Rfam family "Eukaryotic small subunit ribosomal RNA", at positions 1470 to 1796 of the family's 1831-position model. The record is from RNAcentral.